GGGCGGUUAGCUCAGUUUGGUUAGAGCACUAGCUCGACAAGCUAGAGGUCACAGGUUCGAGUCCUGUACCGCCCA
RNAcentral lists this transfer RNA (75 nucleotides) under Planctomycetales bacterium. RNAcentral's name for it is "tRNA-Val". It matches the Rfam family "tRNA". From Rfam's summary of the family: Transfer RNA (tRNA) molecules are approximately 80 nucleotides in length. The record is from RNAcentral. Lineage: Bacteria; Pseudomonadati; Planctomycetota; Planctomycetia; Planctomycetales.